This is a small nuclear RNA of Loxodonta africana (African savanna elephant), 125 nucleotides long. The record is from Ensembl. Lineage: Eukaryota; Metazoa; Chordata; Mammalia; Proboscidea; Elephantidae.
GCUUUGUAUGAAAGGAGGGAAGGUUAGCAUUCCCCUUGACAAGGACAGAGAGACCCCUGGGCCUUACAACAUGAGUAGGGUUAAGGCAUCGCCAAUUACUUCGUGGCGUCUAAUCACAAUUUUUA